UACGGGGGGGGUAAGCGUUGUUCGGAAUUACUGGGCGUAAAGGGCUCGUAGGCGGCCAACUAAGUCGGACGUGAAAUCCCCAGGCUCAACCUGGGAACUGCGUCCGAUACUGGAUGGCUUGAAUCCGGGAGAGGGAUGCAGAAUUCCAGGUGUAGCGGUGAAAUGCGUAGAUAUCUGGAGGAAUACCGGUGGCGAAGGCGGCAGCCUGGACCGGAAUUGACGCUGAGGAGCGAAAGCCAGGGGAGCAAACGGG
Molecule: ribosomal RNA, 253 nt
Filed under: uncultured bacterium
Lineage: Bacteria
Description: partial 16S ribosomal RNA
Rfam family: Bacterial small subunit ribosomal RNA
Source: RNAcentral